Molecule: ribosomal RNA, 305 nt
Filed under: uncultured bacterium
Lineage: Bacteria
Description: bacterial SSU rRNA
Rfam family: Bacterial small subunit ribosomal RNA
Source: RNAcentral
UUCGUCCUACGGGACGCAGCAGUGGGGAAUAUUGCACAAUGGGGGAAACCCUGAUGCAGCGACGCCGCGUGAGUGAAGAAGUGUCUCGGUACGUAAAGCUCUAUCAGCAGGGAAGAAAAAAAGUCUUUGGCUUUGGACGGUACCUGACUAAGAAGCCCCGGCUAACUACGUGCCAGCAGCCGCGGUAAUACGUAGGGGGCAAGCGUUAUCCGGAUUUACUGGGUGUAAAGGGAGCGUAGACGGCAGCGCAAGUCUGGAGUGAAAUGCCGAGGCUCAACCCCGGAACUGCUUUGAAAACUGUGCAG